RNAcentral lists this ribosomal RNA (664 nucleotides) under uncultured Pseudomonadota bacterium. RNAcentral describes it as "bacterial SSU rRNA". It matches the Rfam family "Bacterial small subunit ribosomal RNA", at positions 62 to 715 of the family's 1533-position model. Lineage: Bacteria; Pseudomonadati; Pseudomonadota. The record is from RNAcentral.
UCGAACGGUAACAGGAAGAAGCUUGCUUCUUUGCUGACGAGUGGCGGACGGGUGAGUAAUGUCUGGGAAACUGCCUGAUGGAGGGGGAUAACUACUGGAAACGGUAGCUAAUACCGCAUAACGUCGCAAGACCAAAGAGGGGGACCUUCGGGCCUCUUGCCAUCGGAUGUGCCCAGAUGGGAUUAGCUAGUAGGUGGGGUAACGGCUCACCUAGGCGACGAUCCCUAGCUGGUCUGAGAGGAUGACCAGCCACACUGGAACUGAGACACGGUCCAGACUCCUACGGGAGGCAGCAGUGGGGAAUAUUGCACAAUGGGCGCAAGCCUGAUGCAGCCAUGCCGCGUGUAUGAAGAAGGCCUUCGGGUUGUAAAGUACUUUCAGCGGGGAGGAAGGGAGUAAAGUUAAUACCUUUGCUCAUUGACGUUACCCGCAGAAGAAGCACCGGCUAACUCCGUGCCAGCAGCCGCGGUAAUACGGAGGGUGCAAGCGUUAAUCGGAAUUACUGGGCGUAAAGCGCACGCAGGCGGUUUGUUAAGUCAGAUGUGAAAUCCCCGGGCUCAACCUGGGAACUGCAUCUGAUACUGGCAAGCUUGAGUCUCGUAGAGGGGGGUAGAAUUCCAGGUGUAGCGGUGAAAUGCGUAGAGAUCUGGAGGAAUACCGGUGG